UACGUAGGUGACCAGCGUUGUCCGGAUUUACUGGGCGUAAAGAGCGCGCAGGCGGUCGUUCAAGUCGAGUGCGAAAGCCCCCGGCUCAACUGGGGAGGGUCAUUCGAUACUGAUCGACUCGAAGGCAGGAGAGGGAAGCGGAAUUCCCGGUGUAGUGGUGAAAUGCGUAGAUAUCGGGAGGAACACCAGUGGCGAAGGCGGCUUCCUGGCCUGUUCUUGACGCUGAGGCGCGAAAGCUAGGGGAGCAAACGGG
RNAcentral lists this ribosomal RNA (253 nucleotides) under uncultured bacterium. Its description in RNAcentral is "partial 16S ribosomal RNA". It matches the Rfam family "Bacterial small subunit ribosomal RNA", at positions 524 to 776 of the family's 1533-position model. The record is from RNAcentral.